Transfer RNA from Ovis aries (sheep), 73 nucleotides. It matches the Rfam family "tRNA". From Rfam's summary of the family: Transfer RNA (tRNA) molecules are approximately 80 nucleotides in length. Their secondary structure includes four short double-helical elements and three loops (D, anti-codon, and T loops). The record is from Rfam. NCBI's taxonomy places the organism in Eukaryota, Metazoa, Chordata, Mammalia, Artiodactyla, Bovidae.
UCCUUGAUGGUCCAGUGGCUAAGACUCUGUUCUCCCAAAGCAGGAGGCCCAGGUGUGAUUCCUGGUCAGAGAG